This 1005-nucleotide ribosomal RNA is filed under the name uncultured bacterium. RNAcentral describes it as "bacterial SSU rRNA". It matches the Rfam family "Bacterial small subunit ribosomal RNA", at positions 8 to 1055 of the family's 1533-position model. The record is from RNAcentral.
AGAGUUUGAUCAUGGCUCAGGAUGAACGCUGGCGGCGUGCCUAACACAUGCAAGUCGAACGGGAAUCUUCGGAUUCUAGUGGCGGACGGGUGAGUAACGCGUAAGAAUCUAACUUCAGGACGGGGACAACAGUUGGAAACGACUGCUAAUACCCGAUAUGCCGCGAGGUGAAACCUAAUUGGCCUGAAGAAGAGCUUGCGUCUGAUUAGCUAGUUGGUGGGGUAAGAGCCUACCAAGGCGACGAUCAGUAGCUGGUCUGAGAGGAUGAGCAGCUACACUGGGACUGAGACACGGCCCAGACUCCUACGGGAGGCAGCAGUGGGGAAUUUUCCGCAAUGGGCGAAAGCCUGACGGAGCAACGCCGCGUGAGGGAGGAAGGUCUUUGGAUUGUAAACCUCUUUUCUCAAGGAAGAAGUUCUGACGGUACUUGAGGAAUCAGCCUCGGCUAACUCCGUGCCAGCAGCCGCGGUAAUACGGGGGAGGCAAGCGUUAUCCGGAAUUAUUGGGCGUAAAGCGUCCGCAGGUGGUCAGCCAAGUCUGCUGUCAAAUCAGGUUGCUUAACGACCUAAAGGCGGUGGAAACUGGCAGACUAGAGAGCAGUAGGGGUAGCAGGAAUUCCCAGUGUAGCGGUGAAAUGCGUAGAGAUUGGGAAGAACAUCGGUGGCGAAAGCGUGCUACUGGGCUGUAUCUGACACUCAGGGACGAAAGCUAGGGGAGCGAAAGGGAUUAGAUACCCCUGUAGUCCUAGCCGUAAACGAUGGAUACUAGGCGUGGCUUGUAUCGACCCGAGCCGUGCCGAAGCUAACGCGUUAAGUAUCCCGCCUGGGGAGUACGCACGCAAGUGUGAAACUCAAAGGAAUUGACGGGGGCCCGCACAAGCGGUGGAGUAUGUGGUUUAAUUCGAUGCAACGCGAAGAACCUUACCAAGACUUGACAUGUCGCGAACCCUGGUGAAAGCUGGGGGUGCCUUCGGGAGCGCGAACACAGGUGGUGCAUGGCUGUCGU